AAUAGAUACCCCGGUAGUCCACCCCGUAAACGUUGGGAACUAGUUGUGGGGACCAUUCCACGGUUUCCGUGACGCAGCUAACGCAUUAAGUUCCCCGCCUGGGGAGUACGGCCGCAAGGCUAAAACUCAAAGGAAUUGACGGGGACCCGCACAAGCGGCGGAGCAUGCGGAUUAAUUCGAUGCAACGCGAAGAACCUUACCAAGGCUUGACAUAUACGAGAACGGGCCAGAAAUGGUCAACUCUUUGGACACUCGUAAACAGGUGGUGCAUGGUUGUCGUCAGCUCGUGUCGUGAGAUGUUGGGUUAAGUCCCGCAACGAGCGCAACCCUCGUUCUAUGUUGCCAGCACGUAAUGGUGGGAACUCAUGGGAUACUGCCGGGGUCAACUCGGAGGAAGGUGGGGAUGACGUCAAAUCAUCAUGCCCCUUAUGUCUUGGGCUUCACGCAUGCUACAAUGGCCGGUACAAAGGGCUGCAAUACCGUAAGGUGGAGCGAAUCCCAAAAAGCCGGUCCCAGUUCGGAUUGAGGUCUGCAACUCGACCUCAUG
RNAcentral lists this ribosomal RNA (547 nucleotides) under uncultured bacterium. RNAcentral describes it as "bacterial SSU rRNA". It matches the Rfam family "Bacterial small subunit ribosomal RNA", at positions 777 to 1322 of the family's 1533-position model. The record is from RNAcentral.